AGAAUCAACGCUGGCGGCGUGCCUAACACAUGCAAGUCGAACGAGAAAGUGGAGCAAUCCAUGAGUAAAGUGGCGCACGGGUGAGUACACGUGACUAACCUACCCUUGAGUGGGGGAUAACCUAGAGAAAUCUGGGCUAAUACCGCAUAAUACCUUCGGGUCAAAGGAGCAAUUCGCUUAAGGAGGGGGUCGCGGCCGAUUAGUUAGUUGGCGGGGUAAUGGCCCACCAAGACUAUGAUCGGUA
This 244-nucleotide ribosomal RNA is filed under the name uncultured bacterium. RNAcentral describes it as "partial small subunit ribosomal RNA". It matches the Rfam family "Bacterial small subunit ribosomal RNA", at positions 26 to 285 of the family's 1533-position model. The record is from RNAcentral.